AUAGCGUAUGUUAACGCUGCUGCGGUUAAAGAGCUCGUCGCCGGAUAUCGGCCUCGGAGGGGCGGUUCGCCGGAGGGCGACACUUCCCCGUUCCGGGCGCAGUGGCGCGGCCAUGUCGGUUGGGGUUCGGGGCCCUCCGCCGCCUCGUCUCGCUCCCGCGGGCGUGUGUCGGUGGGGGUGUUCUUUCCGUGCCCUAUCCGCGCGGCGACAGCGCCGGUUUCCUUGAGAAAAUUGGAGUGCUCAGAGCAGGCUGCUCAGGCUCGCACAGGAGUGCAUGGAACUAGCCCAUCGGUCCCGGACCGUCUUUCUGUCGGCUUCAGGGUCCGGGUCCAGGGUCAAUGGGGACGGCCGGGGGCAUUGGUACUGCGACGUUAGAGGUGAAAUUCAGGGAUCGUCGCAUGACCGACAACUG
RNAcentral lists this ribosomal RNA (412 nucleotides) under uncultured eukaryote. RNAcentral's name for it is "bacterial SSU rRNA". It matches the Rfam family "Eukaryotic small subunit ribosomal RNA", at positions 594 to 945 of the family's 1831-position model. The record is from RNAcentral.